AUUGAACGCUGGCGGCAGGCCUAACACAUGCAAGUCGAACGGUAACAGGAAGAAGCUUGCUUCUUUGCUGACGAGUGGCGGACGGGUGAGUAAUGUCUGGGAAACUGCCUGAUGGAGGGGGAUAACUACUGGAAACGGUAGCUAAUACCGCAUGACGUCGCAAGACCAAAGAGGGGGACCUUCGGGCCUCUUGCCAUCGUAUGUGCCCAGAUGGGAUUAGCUAGUAGGUGGGGUAACGGCUCACCUAGGCGACGAUCCCUAGCUGGUCUGAGAGGAUGACCAGCCACACUGGAACUGAGACACGGUACAGACUCCUACGGGAGGCAGCAGUGGGGAAUAUUGCACGAUGGGCGCAAGCCUGAUGCAGCCAUGCCGCGUGUAUGAAGAAGGCCUUCGGGUGGUAAAGUGCUUUCAGCGGGGAGGAAGGGAGUAAAGUUAAUACCUUUGCUCAUUGACGUUACCCGCAGAGGAAGCACCGGCUAACUCCGU
This 489-nucleotide ribosomal RNA is filed under the name uncultured bacterium. RNAcentral's name for it is "partial 16S ribosomal RNA". It matches the Rfam family "Bacterial small subunit ribosomal RNA", at positions 30 to 506 of the family's 1533-position model. The record is from RNAcentral.